RNAcentral lists this ribosomal RNA (402 nucleotides) under uncultured bacterium. RNAcentral's name for it is "bacterial SSU rRNA". It matches the Rfam family "Bacterial small subunit ribosomal RNA", at positions 355 to 774 of the family's 1533-position model. The record is from RNAcentral.
UCGGGAAUUUUGGGCAAUGGGCGAAGGCCUGACCCAGCAACGCCGCGUGAGGGAUGAAGUAUUUCGGUAUGUAAACCUCGAAAGAAUGGGAAGAAUAAAUGACGGUACCAUUUAUAAGCUCCGGCUAACUACGUGCCAGCAGCCGCGGUAAUACGUAGGGAGCAAGCGUUGUUCGGAUUUACUGGGCGUAAAGGGCGCGUAGGCGGCGCGGUAAGUCACUUGUGAAAUCUCUGAGCUUAACUCAGAACGGCCAAGUGAUACUGCUGUGCUAGAGUGCGGAAGAGGCCACCGGAAUUCUUGGUGUGGCGGUGAAAUGCGUAGAUAUCAAGAGGAACACCUGAGGCGAAGGCGGGUUGCUGGGCCGACACUGACGCUGAUGCGCGAAAGCCAGGGGAGCAAACG